Molecule: ribosomal RNA, 268 nt
Filed under: uncultured prokaryote
Description: partial 16S ribosomal RNA
Rfam family: Bacterial small subunit ribosomal RNA
Source: RNAcentral
GACGAACCGUCCAAACGUUAUUCGGAAUCACUGGGCUUAAAGGGUGCGUAGGCGCCCGGCAAGUUGGGUGUGAAAUCCCUCGGCUCAACCGAGGAACUGCGCCCAAAACUGCCAGGCUAGAGGGAGGCAGAGGUGAGCGGAACUUAGGGUGGAGCGGUGAAAUGCGUUGAGAUCCUAAGGAACACCUGUGGCGAAAGCGGCUCACUGGGUCUCUUCUGACGCUGAGGCACGAAAGCUGGGGGAGCGAACGGGAUUAGAUACCCCCGUA